Molecule: transfer RNA, 84 nt
Filed under: Sulfuricurvum sp. MLSB
Lineage: Bacteria; Pseudomonadati; Campylobacterota; Epsilonproteobacteria; Campylobacterales; Sulfurimonadaceae
Rfam family: tRNA
About the family: Transfer RNA (tRNA) molecules are approximately 80 nucleotides in length. Their secondary structure includes four short double-helical elements and three loops (D, anti-codon, and T loops).
Source: Rfam by way of RNAcentral
GCGGCCGUGGUGAAAUUGGUAGACACGCUAGAUUCAGGUUCUAGUGGCGGAAACGCUGUGGAGGUUCAAGUCCUCUCGACCGCA